CACUCCUGCGGGAGGCAGCAGUGGGGAAUAUUGCACAAUGGGCGCAAGCCUGAUGCAGCCAUGCCGCGUGUAUGAAGAAGGCCUUCGGGUUGUAAAGUACUUUCAGCGGGGAGGAAGGCGAUAAGGUUAAUAACCUUGUCGAUUGACGUUACCCGCAGAAGAAGCACCGGCUAACUCCGUGCCAGCAGCCGCGGUAAUACGGAGGGUGCAAGCGUUAAUCGGAAUUACUGGGCGUAAAGCGCACGCAGGCGGUCUGUCAAGUCGGAUGUGAAAUCCCCGGGCUCAACCUGGGAACUGCAUUCGAAACUGGCAGGCUAGAGUCUUGUAGAGGGGGGUAGAAUUCCAGGUGUAGCGGUGAAAUGCGUAGAGAUCUGGAGGAAUACCGGUGGCGAAGGCGGCCCCCUGGACAAAGACUGACGCUCAGGUGCGAAAGCGUGGGGAGCAAACAGGAUUAGAAACCCCUGUAGUCC
Molecule: ribosomal RNA, 470 nt
Filed under: uncultured organism
Description: partial 16S ribosomal RNA
Rfam family: Bacterial small subunit ribosomal RNA
Source: RNAcentral